AUUGAACGCUGGCGGAAUGCUUUACACAUGCAAGUCGAACGGCAGCACGGACUUCGGUCUGGUGGCGAGUGGCGAACGGGUGAGUAAUGUAUCGGAACGCGCCCAGUCGUGGGGGAUAACGUAGUGAAAAUUACGCUAAUACCGUAUACGAUCUAUGGAUGAAAGCGGGGGAUCGCAAGACCUCGCGCGAUUGGAGCGGCCGAUAUCAGAUUAGGUAGUUGGUGGGGUAAAGGCCCACCAAGCCAACGAUCUGUAGCUGGUCUGAGAGGACGACCAGCCACACGGGAACUGAGACACGGUCCAGACUCCUACGGGAGGCAGCAGUGGGGAAUUUUGGACAAUGGGCGAAAGCCUGAUCCAGCCAUUCCGCGUGCAGGAUGAAGGCCCUUGGGUUGUAAACUGCUUUUGUACAGAACGAAAAGGUUUCUACUAAUACUAGGAGCUCAUGACGGUACUGUAAGAAUAAGCACCGGCUAACUACGUGCCAGCCGCCGCCGUAA
Molecule: ribosomal RNA, 500 nt
Filed under: uncultured bacterium
Lineage: Bacteria
Description: partial 16S ribosomal RNA
Rfam family: Bacterial small subunit ribosomal RNA
Source: RNAcentral